AUUGGAAUACCCAUUAGGAAAACAAUGGCUAAUGCCGGAUACGCAUGGAACCGCANUGGUUCCGUUGUGAAAGGCGCUGUAAGGCGCCACUAAAAGAUGAGGGUGCGGAACAUUAGUUAGUUGGUGAGGUAAUGGCCCACCAAGACUAUGAUGUUUAGCCGGGUCGAGAGACUGAACGGCCACAUUGGGACUGAGAUACGGCCCAAACUCCUACGGGAGGCAGCAGGC
Molecule: ribosomal RNA, 228 nt
Filed under: uncultured Mycoplasma sp.
Lineage: Bacteria; Bacillati; Mycoplasmatota; Mollicutes; Mycoplasmatales; Mycoplasmataceae
Description: partial 16S ribosomal RNA
Rfam family: Bacterial small subunit ribosomal RNA
Source: RNAcentral